UACGGGGGGGGCAAGCGUUGUUCGGAAUUACUGGGCGUAAAGGGCUCGUAGGCGGCCAACUAAGUCAGACGUGAAAUCCCCAGGCUCAACCUGGGAACUGCGUCUGAUACUGGAUGGCUUGAAUCCGGGAGAGGGAUGCAGAAUUCCAGGUGUAGCGGUGAAAUGCGUAGAUAUCUGGAGGAAUACCGAUGGCGAAGGCAGGUCUCUGGGCUGACACUGACGCUCAUGCACGAAAGCGUGGGGAGCAAACAGG
This 253-nucleotide ribosomal RNA is filed under the name uncultured bacterium. RNAcentral describes it as "partial 16S ribosomal RNA". It matches the Rfam family "Bacterial small subunit ribosomal RNA", at positions 524 to 776 of the family's 1533-position model. The record is from RNAcentral.